Non-coding RNA from Cordylochernes scorpioides, 65 nucleotides. The record is from the annotation of a GenBank genome assembly. NCBI's taxonomy places the organism in Eukaryota, Metazoa, Arthropoda, Arachnida, Pseudoscorpiones, Chernetidae.
GUCCAGGGAUGGGAAUCGAACCCACAGUAUCCGGGCAGAUGCCAUGUCCACUAGGCUACCCUGGA